GCAAACCUAUAUUUUUUUAUUAAAAAGUAAAGAAAAUUCUCAUUUUUAUAAAGUAUUCCCUAAAAAAUACCUAUUUAUUAGUAAACCGCAAGGGUUUGUUCUCAGCUUCUUUAAGAAAUGAUAAUCUCAUGUCCCUUUUGCAUCAUGGAGAAGCAACAAAAAACUAGUAAUCUAUACUCCCGAAUGAUUAUGAGCUACUAACUUUUAGGAAUUAAUGUUUCAUAAUUAAUUAAAGUAAUCUUUAGUAGAAGUAACAAGCCUUCCAUAUAAUCGUAUAGCUGGUUUUUCUUCAAAAGCAUCACAGUGCUAGCCCAUAGUUAAACAUUAUACUUUUAAAUUAUGAGGCUUACUCUCCUGAGGAUUAGCUCAGCAGAGCCCCAGAAAUACUUUAAUAAACAAAUUUAUAAGUAGGCCUAAAAGCAGCCAUCUAAUAACGUUCUAGUUACCAAAACUAAACCCUAAUAUUAAAUUCUAUUAACACUUCUAACCAUAAAGAAAUUUAACAAAAAAUCUCCUUGUUAUUAAACAGGCAUCCUAUUAGUAUUCUAUACAAAAGACUAAUUAAUAAUAAUUAAAAAUAUUAAGUCGCAAAUCUUUUAUCUACUAAAAUAAGUAAAGUGAACUCGGCAAAUUAGUUCCCUGCCUGUUUACCAAAAACAUCGUCUUUUGAAACCCCAAAAUAAAAGAUAAUGCCUGCCCAGUGAAUCAUUAAACGGCCGCGUUAGCGUGAGCGUGCUAAGGUAGCGUAAUAAUUAGCCUUUUAAUUGGAGGCCAGUGAAUGGCAAGACUAGGAACACCUUUACUUUACAUACUAAAAAAACUUUUCAUCUAAGUGAAAAGACUUAGAUAAUAGAGGAAGACGAAAAGACCCCGCGGAGCUUUACCUUUUCUAAUACUUCUGUUUAUACACUUAAAUGUGUUAAAGGUUUGGUUGGGGCAAUCUUGGAACCAACAAAGCUUCCAAUUCUUUAAAGAUCCUAUAUAAAACUUGAUAAGGACCAAAAAGAAGCUACCCCGGGGAUAACAGCGUAAUCUAAUUUGAGAGUACAUAUCGAAAAUUGGGUUUGCGACCUCGAUGUUGGCUUAAGGAUAUCCACAUUAGUGCAACCGCUAUGUCAGGAUAGUCUGUUCGACUAUUAUACCCUUACACGAGCUGAGUUAAGACCGGCGCAAGCUAGGUUGGUUUCUAUCUCCUUUAAUAAACUAUUCUUCUUGAUUGUACGAAAGGACCCCAAGAGGUGCAACUUUUAACAGCACUUUUGAUAAAUCAUAUUUAGCUUA
RNAcentral lists this ribosomal RNA (1281 nucleotides) under Elliptio icterina. RNAcentral's name for it is "16S ribosomal RNA". The stretch from base 591 to 1281 matches the Rfam family "Archaeal large subunit ribosomal RNA", at positions 1423 to 2815 of the family's 2987-position model. Lineage: Eukaryota; Metazoa; Mollusca; Bivalvia; Unionida; Unionidae. The record is from RNAcentral.